Molecule: long non-coding RNA, 2402 nt
Organism: Carassius auratus (goldfish)
Lineage: Eukaryota; Metazoa; Chordata; Actinopteri; Cypriniformes; Cyprinidae
Exons: 2
Source: RefSeq, a predicted model, not a curated record
GAAAGACUCUGCAACGCAUAGUGAGAGCAGCUGAGAAGAUCAUUGGUGUCUCUCUCCCCUCCCUCCAGCACAUUUAUGGAACCCGUCUCACUCACAAAGCCCUCUGCAUCGCAGGUGAUCCCACCCUCCCAUCACAGCUUCUUCAGCUUGCUGCAUCAGGUCGGAGACUGCAGAGUCUCCAGGCCAGGACCAGCAGACUGAAGGACAGCUUCAUCCACCAGGCUGUCAGGAAGCUGAUCUCGCUCCUGACCUUUCAGGGUUGGAGCUAAACUCUGCAGGACAUUGGCACUCCUGGACCGUCACUGCUUACCAGUGGGAUAAGUUAUUUUGCACUACAAUCAUUUUAUCUCCACUGUUUGUUAACAUCACUGGUUUGCAUCUGCCAUGUGAUGCUUUAUUUAACUUUUUCUUUUCAUUCCCCUUAUUUGUAUUGUUGUAUUUUAUAUUUAAUCUGUAUCUAUCUGUAAAUGUAUUCUCUGUUAUUAGUAUGCACCAUAUGUUAUCAUAUACCAUAUGUUAUGAGAAUUCAAACAUGUUAUCUGUAUGCACCAAGGGUUUGAGAGUAAUGCAAUUUUAAUUCUCUGUAUGUAUGUGCUGUACGUGUGGAAGAACUAACAAUAAAGCAGACUUGACUUGACUUGAUAACAAGAGCUUGCAAAUAAGGCAACAUUCUUAUACAAUUAUACAUUAUAAGGAUAUGAACUGAUAAUGUACAUAAAAACAAACGUUUAUGGAAGGAGCAUAGCACCAAAUGUUGGCCUCAGUCACACAACCAAGGGGGUGGGCACCUCAAAACACAAUACAACACAUCAUCAUUCAUAUUAAUAAUAAUAAUAAUCAGUAUAUUAUUAAUGAGACUUUCCACAAUUUCAGAGUGUGCAAAGUUCUGUAAUACAAAAAGGCUUGGUUCUACUCUGCUUUUACAUUUUAAAAAAAUGAUGUUAAUUAAAAGUUUAAUAAUAUUACCGUCUCAAGUCUAUUGUUUCUGUGAUUUAGAAAACAUUCCGAGAUAUAAUACAGCCCAAAGGGAGAUUGAGCGCCCUCUUGAGGAAGAGACCAUAUAGCACAUGACAUCAUCAUCUAUCCUCAAAGGCAUGUAUGGGACAGACUGGCUUGUUAGUAGUUAUGAAUCAAGGCCAUGGCAUUACAGUCCCAGAAGUAUCUAUGCAUACAGCAAUGCAGACAUUUAAAGGACCUUGAUUUAUUGCAUGCAUAAGGUACAAGCAUGGAUGGACCCAGGGGCACCGCUAUGGUUUCUGGGCCCCAUCAGUAAAAAUCACAUCCCAUGGGGAAGAUACAUUGGACCCCUUCUCUGAUCAGGAUACUUUCAAUGGAAGGAUAGAAACUUCAUUAAAAAAAAAUUCAUUGGUUUCCAAAAUUAACUGAAGUCUGGUUUUGGAAUGACAUGAGGGUGAGUAAAUGAUGACACGAGAAUAUCAGAGAAAACAGACUGAACUAAAUAGAAAGGCUGUGACUCGACUCCAAAAUAACUUGGCGUCAAUGCAAAAAAUAUUCCUUGUUAUAUAUAAAAUAAAAUAUAAAACAUAUUGCAACAUAAAAUGACAUUUUAAUAAAAUGUAGACUUUUACAAACAGCCAAGAACAACAUACAACGCAAUCGCUCGGUUAAUUACAGUGAGUUAACAGUGAUGGGUUUUCUGCUGGGACUAUCUCCACGAUUAAAGACAUUAUUAGAGCAGUAUGGAGGGGGGGGGGGGGGGUCUGGCCAGAAACGUUUCCUCUGCAGUAAAGACUGACUGUUUGCCGUCAGAAGCAUCCUGGCACUACACUAGUAACGCCGAUGACAUGGGUUUGAUUCUCAGGGAACACAAGAAUCCCUGAAUACAGGUGGCUUUGAAUGAAAGCAUCUACAAAUGAGGGAUGGGAGCAGGCAGCACACAUUAAUCAACAUGAUACAGAUCUGUUAAGACAUACGGUUAUCUCUGAUGACCUGGGAGGAAGAUUGGGCUUUCAGCAGCACAGCAAUCCAAAUAAUAAGAAAACAUGAUGCUGUAAAACAGAGACUGACAGCAAUAUAAGACAUGAAGUCAACUACAUAAACUCCCCACAAACAAACAUGCCGCAUUACAACCUAUUUCAUUCAAUUCAGCAGCUUUAUUAUAUCACCAUAUUACAUCUAUACAGUUAGAUGUUAAUGUAUGAUUAAAUUAAAAACAAAUUAUAUCCACACAGAUUAAUAAACAAAAUCAUUUUAUUUCAAAUGAAUCUGAAAAGUGGGGAAUGGCUUCUCUGAUUCUAAUGGCAGUUUUGUUUUGUGUCAUGAUUCUGAUCACUAAUCAGUGCGUGUUAGGGGCCAUUUAUCGGGUUCAGCUAUUUUGUCUGGUGGAAACAUACUGAGGGGCAGUGAAAUCAGCACACUGAUGCUGGACACACACACACACA